UAACCUCAAUAAAUUAUUAACAAAUGACAUUUCACUAACGGUUAGUUAACAGAAAGAUAUUUUAAGUUAUUAUUUAAAGAGUAUGAAUGAAAUAAAUUAUUUCAUGAAACCCUAAAGAUGAUAAAUGUUUUUUCCCUUUAUUAUCCCUAUAAAAUUUUCAAAGUAAGAGACAAAACAUUAAAAUUGUCUCUCUCUCACUUAAUUAACUCCAUCUUAUUCUUUUUUUCUCUCUCUCACUCAAACCUUUCAUCUAUCAUCUUUUAAAAAAAGAUAUCGACUCUUUGACUGAUUAUGCAUAAUAUGUGAAUGAUUUUAGUAAUAUAGGUCCAGAAUUAAUUCUUUGUAAUUAUAGGAAGAGUUUUAACGGAUUUGCCAUGAAGCUAGCAAAAGAGAAAGCUCAAAUAAUGGCUGUCGGUGGGGGGUGAACAUAACUUUUUUUUUUUGUGGGUGAAUUGUUUAAUUAAUUUAAUACCAAUUUUAAUUUGCCAUAAGAAUGAAAUAAAAGGGAAGUAAUACAACGUUUUGGUCAUUAUUUGAAGCUAUAUUAUCCUUGCUGUUGAUUUGGCUUCAAAACGAGCUGAAACUCUUAAAUGGUAUUUUUCCUUUGAUGAAUAGAUAGGCGAAGCAGCCAAUCUAUUUCAAUUAUUUAAAGCAAUGGGAGUCGUAGGAUCUGUGCGUAUUUCCAAAUCGAAGCUUCAUACUGCAACAUAAUGGAAUUUCAUGAGGUUUCCCAGCAAGUAGAAAGAGCAACAACAGUGGAAAGUGAUGAAGUGAUUGGAAUAUUUGACACUGGAAUUUGAGAAAGUUUUAAUUAAAAUGGCAGCACUCAUGUUUCAAAAAUAAUCUUCUCAUCACCAUCAACAGAAAUCUUCUCCUUCGUAAUAACAAAAAUUAACUAUCGUCAUUUUCAUCAAUUUAAACAAAAAAAAAAAAAAACUUCUUCAUCACGUUUCAAAAAUGGCAGCCGGUGGAACAAAGAUGAUAGGUGAAGAUUUGGCGGGGAGAGAGAGAGAGAAUAAGACAGAUAAUUAAGGGUGAGAGAGAAAAAUUUAAUGUUUUGUCAGUAAAAAUUAAGUGGAUAAUAUGUAAUUUUUGUUUCCAAAUUUUUUAAAUUUCUAUUGCCACGUGUUUAGAUAUCGAUAGUUAAUGGUUUAGAUAUUGAUAGUUAAUGGUUUCACGUUAAAUUACAGGUUAGGGUUAUUUUGAAACUGUUCUAAAAGU
Molecule: long non-coding RNA, 1221 nt
Filed under: Citrus x clementina
Lineage: Eukaryota; Viridiplantae; Streptophyta; Magnoliopsida; Sapindales; Rutaceae
Description: Citrus clementina (C. clementina) long non-coding RNA (CCLE_LNC000173)
Source: RNAcentral